This 406-nucleotide ribosomal RNA is filed under the name uncultured Pantoea sp. RNAcentral's name for it is "bacterial SSU rRNA". It matches the Rfam family "Bacterial small subunit ribosomal RNA", at positions 1 to 405 of the family's 1533-position model. The record is from RNAcentral. Lineage: Bacteria; Pseudomonadati; Pseudomonadota; Gammaproteobacteria; Enterobacterales; Erwiniaceae.
UCGUUAGAGUUUGAUCAUGGCUCAGAUUGAACGCUGGCGGCAGGCCUAACACAUGCAAGUCGGACGGUAGCACAGAGGAGCUUGCUCCUCGGGUGACGAGUGGCGGACGGGUGAGUAAUGUCUGGGGAUCUGCCCGAUAGAGGGGGAUAACCACUGGAAACGGUGGCUAAUACCGCAUAACGUCGCAAGACCAAAGAGGGGGACCUUCGGGCCUCUCACUAUCAGAUGAACCCAGAUGGGAUUAGCUAGUAGGCGGGGUAACGGCCCACCUAGGCGACGAUCCCUAGCUGGUCUGAGAGGAUGACCAGCCACACUGGAACUGAGACACGGUCCAGACUCCUACGGGAGGCAGCAGUGGGGAAUAUUGCACAAUGGGCGCAAGCCUGAUGCAGCCAUGCCGCGUGUA